GUGAGCCGUGUGAUGGGAAACCUUCACGCACGGUUCGGAGAGCACUGAAUUAGAAUGAGAGGUUCACCACCACAUCAUUGCAUGCAAGGGGAGCUCGCUCGAUUCGCAAAUUGGUCCGACUCGUAAUUCACUUCUGACCCCGU
Molecule: non-coding RNA, 143 nt
Filed under: Prunus dulcis (almond)
Lineage: Eukaryota; Viridiplantae; Streptophyta; Magnoliopsida; Rosales; Rosaceae
Source: RNAcentral